GUUUGUGUCCAUACCACCCUGAACAUGCCCAGUCUUGUCUGAUCUCAGAAGCUAAGCAGGGUCAGGCCUGGUUAGUACUUGGAUGGGAAAAUUCAAUGCUUUAUUCAGCGACCCACCCC
Molecule: ribosomal RNA, 119 nt
Organism: Erinaceus europaeus (western European hedgehog)
Lineage: Eukaryota; Metazoa; Chordata; Mammalia; Eulipotyphla; Erinaceidae
Source: Ensembl